AGCACCGGCUAACUCCGUGCCAGCAGCCGCGGUAAUACGGAGGGUGCGAGCGUUAAUCGGAAUUACUGGGCGUAAAGCGCAUGCAGGUGGUUUGUUAAGUCAGAUGUGAAAGCCCGGGGCUCAACCUCGGAAUUGCAUUUGAAACUGGCAGACUAGAGUACUGUAGAGGGGGGUAGAAUUUCAGGUGUAGCGGUGAAAUGCGUAGAGAUCUGAAGGAAUACCGGUGGCGAAGGCGGCCCCCUGGACAGAUACUGACACUCAGAUGCGAAAGCGUGGGGAGCAAACAGGAUUAGAUACCCUGGUAGUCCACGCCGUAAACGAUGUCUACUUGGAGGUUGUGGCCUUGAGCCGUGGCUUUCGGAGCUAACGCGUUAAGUAGACCGCCUGGGGAGUACGGUCGCAAGAUUAAAACUCAAAUGAAUUGACGGGGGCCCGCACAAGCGGUGGAGCAUGUGGUUUAAUUCGAUGCAACGCGAAGAACCUUACCUACUCUUGACAUCCAGAGAACUUUCCAGAGAUGGAUUGGUGCCUUCGGGA
This 537-nucleotide ribosomal RNA is filed under the name Vibrio parahaemolyticus. Its description in RNAcentral is "bacterial SSU rRNA". It matches the Rfam family "Bacterial small subunit ribosomal RNA", at positions 488 to 1025 of the family's 1533-position model. Lineage: Bacteria; Pseudomonadati; Pseudomonadota; Gammaproteobacteria; Vibrionales; Vibrionaceae. The record is from RNAcentral.